CAGGAGGGUGUGGUCACAUCCCACGCAGCUGGAGGGAAAGAGGGGAGCUGGGGGCAGCGAGGGCUGUCCCUGCUCCAGGAUCAGGUGGGGUCUGCAGGGAUGGAGGGCAAGAGGCGGAGUCAUGGGAGGCUGCACGCACAGUAGAAUGGCCUCAGCACCUGCGUCUGCGUCUUUGUCCUUUAUGACCCCUGAGACGGGUGACUGG
Molecule: long non-coding RNA, 205 nt
Filed under: Marmota monax (woodchuck)
Lineage: Eukaryota; Metazoa; Chordata; Mammalia; Rodentia; Sciuridae
Source: RNAcentral